GUUAAAUCACUGAGGGGUUUCCCGCCAUUGUUAAAAGCGCGAAUCUCGGCAGGUCACGAGACUAGCGGGCUUCUACGGUGAUAUUCAUUGUGAGAGACGACUUCAGAUCAGCUUUUAUUCUCGUCGUGUGUAACACUACUACUACUCAGAUUACUGGCCCAGCUCUUCCCAAAACGCUAACUAACUAGGUCAAGCUGGCCCAGGAGUUGCAGACAGAGCAUUAAAGGAAACUGAAGAACAACAAACUGGACGUUAACCAGUCAGGUUUUAGGAGUGGCCAUUCAACUGAGACUCCGCUACAUGGCCUGCAGAUUGCAAAAGCUGAUUCUAAAUCAUCAGUUCUUAUUCUGCUGGAUCCAUCUGCUGCUUUUGACACUGUCAGUCAACAGAUCUUCCUUUCUGUCCUCUCUUCACUGAGCAUCACAGGGAUUUCACUUCGCUGGUUUGGAUCAUAUAUCACUGGUAGGUCUUUCAGGGUUUCUUGGGGAGGGGAUUUAUCUAAAGCACAUCAACUGGUCACUGGGGUUCCUCAGGGAUCAGUUCUUGGACACCUCCACUUCUCCAUAUACACAACAUCACUGGGUCCCAUCAUAUAGGCACGUGGCUUCUACCAUAGCUAUGCUGAUGACACUCUAUCUCUCAAUUCAACCAAAUGAUCCAACGUUAGCUGCACAGAUCUUAGGCUUCCUCCCAGACAUCUGGGCAUGGAUGAAAGAAUAUCACCUACAGCUCAACCUGGCAAAGACUGAGCUUCUUGUCUUCCCUGCCACUCCAACUCUACAGAAUGAUUUCACAAUCCAGCUGGUUCUUCUACAAUUACCCUAACAAAUUCGGUCAGAAAUUUUGGUGUAACCUUUGAUGACCAGCUGACCUUAAAAGAUUUCAAGGACUGCUCGAUUUUGCAGAUUUGCAUUGCACAACAUCAGAAAGAUCAGGCCCUGUCUAACAGAGCAUGCUUCAAAACUUUUUGUCCAGGCCUUUGUCAUUUAUAGGCUGGAGAACUGCAAUGCUCUUCUGGCUGGACUUCCAUCAAGGACAAUCAAAGCUCUACAAAUGAUUCAAAAUACAGUGGCACUUCAAUGAGCCCAAAAGAACACGUUACACCUCUCUUUAUCUCCUUGGACUAGCUUCUGGUUGCAGCUCGAUAGGGUAAUCAAGUUCAAGACAUUGAUGUCACUGGCUCAGCACCCGCAUACUUCCACUCACUACUACAAAUCUACAUCCUCUCCAAAGUCUGAGAUCCACUAGUGAGCGACGUCUGGUGGUACCACCACAGAGAGGCUCAAAAUCACUUUCCAGAUCAUUCUUGUUCACAAUUCAUUUCUGAUGAAAUGAUCACCCCACCCCUAUCCGGAAUGCUGAAUCCCUGAAAAAUUUCAAGCAACUACUGAAAAUCUCUUUCGAAGCUCAUCACAAAAAAAAAAAAAACUUUGUCUUUCUCUUUAUUUAUUCCUUCUCUUUCUAGUUUGUGCUUAUUUGAACAUUGCCUAAAACUUGGUAUUAUGAGCACUUCCUGUGUCUGUUUGCCUCUUUAAGAAGAAUCGCUUUAUGUAUCCCCCAAUUGUAAGUCGCUUUGGAUAAAAACGUAUGCAAAAUGACUAAAUGUAAAUGUAAAUUUAAGUCAGUGAUUCAAUGAUCCUUUCACAAAGACAUUUGCUUGUUUCAUCUCUAAAUGAGUCAGCUGUUUUGAACAAAUCAUUUGAAUGAAUCAUGCAGUGACUCGCUCAUCAAGACAUUGACUUGCCGCCACCUACUGGCAGUUUUAGUUUAAUUUAUCCAUGACAGGUCUCCUUGCCAAGGUACCAACACAAAAACACACUAAGUAAAAUAUUGUGUAAUUAUCAUCACCAGGAAAAAAAAAUUACUAUAGAUAUCAAGAUACCAUUUUCCCACAAUAUUAUGCAAAUCUAUUUGCUAUUUGGUUGCUAGGUUCUUCUCUUUGGUUGCUCUAUUGCAAGAGUGUUCUACCUACUGUAAUUGCAAAAUGCUAAAUGCAUACAUCAUUUUAGAAUUGACAUUCUGUAUUCAAUAUCUCUUACCUUCAGUAAAGUAAAUUAUACUACUAAUAAUAAAGAAUAUCUAUUUUAAUUAUUGAUCUGUAUAUAAGACUAUAUUUCAGUCUGGUAGUUGAGAAAAGACUGAGGACCUGUAGUCUAGACAACAUGACAUUUUGUAUUCAAGUGGGCUAUCAGAUUAUAUGUGGACCGUCCUGUUCAGACACUGAAAAAAGUAUUUAAAAAAACAGGCCUGGUAUUGAUGUUCUCUCUCUGUGGACAUAUGAGAUUACAGAAAGAUCAGAUAACACGCCCUCACUCCAUCCUCCAGGAACAUAAAAAAGACUGUCCAACCUCCACCCAUCUCCGUCCAUCAAUCUCUCUGCAUUUCUCUCAUAUUGCCACACAAAUCAGCACAUUUGAAACCCAGCACUGCAUGAAUAGGAGAAGAGCAAAAAAAGAGGGUAGCUCACAUCCAAACUCACUCCCCCAUUAAGAAAAUCUAUAGCGGAUGCUUGUAUACUUCAACAAUGAGAUCUUAUGAAUAAAGCAGGAGGUGGCUCAUCUUAAUGGCUAAAAGGGUUUUUAUUGUCAUACUUUCCCAAAGACCCAGACAGUGUUGCAUAAACACACUGAUCAUUUUCUUUUUUCUUUUUUUGCUAGCAACAUAUAAAUACCAAAUAUUUCAUCAUAUUGCAGAUGUUUUGUCUCACGCCACAGUCCUGCUGAGAAACCGCCUUUGACUCAUAGAUAAACAACAGGUUCAAGAGAUAAAAUAUUCUUUUUUUCUACAUAGGUUUCAGAAGCAUGUUUUUAGAGAUUUUAGUAAUUAUAACAAUUAGAUUACAGAGUACAUAUUUUCACUUCAAGCCAAAUAGAUGCUAACAAAAGUUGUUUCACCCAAAGAAAGAACAGUAUUUUGCUUUCGCAUUUUGCAUUACAAUCUGUUUUCAUCGUUCAUUUUUUGAAGCAUGAAGAAUUAGAUCAAUUACAUCAAACUGCAUUAGUUGUGCCAAAUGUGCGUUGCACAGAACAAACCUAAGCAGUUUCAGCAUUUCAUUCAGCAAAUUUUUUUUUGUUUUUUAUUGUAUUCUUAAGUCACACUAAAGCGAUGAAUUAAAU
Molecule: long non-coding RNA, 3116 nt
Organism: Carassius auratus (goldfish)
Lineage: Eukaryota; Metazoa; Chordata; Actinopteri; Cypriniformes; Cyprinidae
Exons: 3
Source: RefSeq, a predicted model, not a curated record